This is a long non-coding RNA of Lycium barbarum (goji berry), 1340 nucleotides long. RefSeq lists it as uncharacterized. NCBI's taxonomy places the organism in Eukaryota, Viridiplantae, Streptophyta, Magnoliopsida, Solanales, Solanaceae. The record is from RefSeq and is a predicted model, not a curated record. The transcript has 3 exons.
AGAGAGAAGACACAAGCCAUGGCAUUCGGCCAUGGCUAGCAAAAUUGGAGCUCGAAUUUCUUGAUCAAAAAAAUCAGAUUUUCAAAGUAUUCCAACCCGUUAGGAAGGCUAUAAUAACGUGGAUUAGUCAUUUGGAGCAACAAGAACAAGUAUUAUUUCAUUUCACAACUUCUAGCCAAAUUAAGGUUGAAGUGCCAAUCGAGACGAGUUUAAAUUAUUGAAUUGGUACAGACGACAAACGGUACAGACGUUUUUUUCUGGUGACUCACCCAUGUAGGAUAUAUUCUGCUACUUUGGAGUGCUCCUUUGACUCGGAGCCCAUACUUUUGGUAAAGACCUUUCAUUGUAUAUGUCUCUGUAUAUGUAUGUAUGACUAUCUGGGGUACGCGGGGCCCUGUCCCGUCAUAUGUUCUGUUAUGGUUUGUAGAGGCCUGUAGUCAUAUAUGUGGGUCAUGGGUCAUGUUUGUUCGAUUAUAUUUGUGAUUUGUGCCUUAAGCGGUCCCGUUUGCUAUUAUGGCCAAAACGGCCCAUAUGUUUGUAUAUGUAUGUGUAUCCGGGCGAUGUGUAUUCCGCCAGCCUAUCGAUUUUCGGUAUGAUAUUUCUGUACGGGUGACCGCUUAAGAUGAUAUCUGUUUUCAGUAUCUGUUUAAAAUGACGUAUGAUAAGUUUGAAUAAACCUUUGAUAUGUCGAUCUGGUACGUAAGUUCGUUUGGGUGUCCAAAUAGGACACCAGUCGCGGCCCACGGGGCUGGGUCGUGACAGAGUCGUACAUGGACACCAUGGGUCCCCUGCAGGUUAUAACUACUGAGGUAUGACAUCAGAUAGCAUAUGUGUACAGCUAGUGGGGUUAUGGUGAUAAAUUUGUUUCCGUUGGAGUUGACAUGUUCUGAUUCUUAGCAACUUGUUGAUUUGUUGUGAUUGUCCGUGGUUGACUUGUUGUGAUAUAUUGAUACUCGUGCAUGAUUGACUGGCUUGUUUAUUCUAUUGAUUUCAUAAGAUAUGCACGAUACUAAUCUUAGUCGGCCUAUGAUGCUUAUUGGUACAUAGUGUUUGAACUGAUAAUACCUUGCUGCAUUCUUUGAGUGCAAAUUUUGACAUAAAGACCGCUACUCGUCCUCACAUCUAGCGUGGAGGAUAUUUGCUGACAGAUUUUGGGGUGAGCUUCUUCUCAUGCCAGGACGUCCGAAUAGCUUCUACUUAUGAUUUCUUUUCUGAUUCUGGACAUUAUGGAUAUUUAUUAGGCAGAUUUCAGUUCUUAGACAUGUUUUGGCUUAGAGUCCUGUACGAUGACUUUCGGAUUUUAGGGGUUGUAAUAUUUAGAACUUCCGCACUUACUACAG